GACGAACGCUGGCGGCGUGCUUAACACAUGCAAGUCGAGCGGUAAGGCCCUUUCGGGGGUACGACGAGCGGCGAACGGGUGGAGUAACACGUGGGUGGACCUGCCCUCCAGCUCUGGGAGUAAGACCUGGGAAACCGGGGUACUAAUAACUGGAUAUGACUCCAUGACGCAUGUUGUGGGGUGGAAAGCCUUGUGCGGCUGAGGAUGGGCCCGGCGGCCUAUCAGCUUGUUGGUGGGGUGGAUGGCCCACCAAGGCGACGACGGGUAGCCGG
This 272-nucleotide ribosomal RNA is filed under the name uncultured bacterium. RNAcentral describes it as "partial 16S ribosomal RNA". It matches the Rfam family "Bacterial small subunit ribosomal RNA", at positions 28 to 290 of the family's 1533-position model. The record is from RNAcentral.